This is a long non-coding RNA of Lineus longissimus, 527 nucleotides long. RefSeq lists it as uncharacterized. The record is from RefSeq and is a predicted model, not a curated record. NCBI's taxonomy places the organism in Eukaryota, Metazoa, Nemertea, Pilidiophora, Heteronemertea, Lineidae. The transcript is spliced from 3 exons.
AGUGUUUUCCUGGAGAGAGUUUCCUGCGUUCUCUUUUUAGGACUUCUGUUAGGAUCGUACCUGCCCCAGGUUACAUCAACGAAGUAUACACUCGAUAUGGCCACAUCUUUGAAAGACACGUGUAUAAGAAAUUGGCCUAACCUCGCCCUGAAGAAACCAUCACGGAUCUCCUCACUGUGGACGAGUGAACACGUAGCGGGCCUGGCGAACGAUGGCAAUACGAAUGGGAACCUCCAAUUCUGCGCCUGCACAGCCGAAUAUCAGUACACGGACAACUGGUGGACUGUCGAUCUUGGCGCCACCUACUGGGCGGUGGCGAUAGAACUUUGGAACAGAGGAAAUUACUCAUACCGGUUCGCACAGUUCGAUGUCAUAGUGACCGAUGAAGCGCCUCCCCCUGCGGUCAUUAAUGAUGUCACUUUCUGCUAUCACCACGGUAGCACACCAAUCCCUGCGAAUAUUGGGUUCUUCAGGAAAUGCAGAAAACCCAUCGCUGGGAGGCAUGUGACCAUCAGCAAGAAGGUCCC